UUCAUACUCCAUCUGUCCAACAAAAGAUGUCUCAAGUUUGUCAAACUUUGGAUGUAUCUAGACAUGACUUAGUGUAUAGAUGCAUUUAAAUUUGAUCAAAGUUGAGACAUCCUUUGUUGGACGGAGGGAGUAUAUG
Brachypodium distachyon (stiff brome) is the source of this 136-nucleotide non-coding RNA. Lineage: Eukaryota; Viridiplantae; Streptophyta; Magnoliopsida; Poales; Poaceae. The record is from Rfam.